ACUAUUUCGAAGACGAUUUCGACGACUCCGACAUCAACUAAUCUGACCCUCCUUGUACCUGCUUACCGUGUCCUGGCUUUUUAUAGCUUUUGAACAUUGGAGAGUAGAGAGGGAAAGAAACACAACUUAUUUUUCUCGUGUCCAGCUUUAACUAUUAAUUAAAUAUAUCUAAUUGAUUAUUAUUAUUAUUGAUUGCUGAUAAACUAUAAUGUAUGAAAUUGUGUUUGAUUGCUGUACAAGGUUUAGCAAAAAACUGGGAUUUUUUGGCGGUUUAUGAUGAUUCGGUGCAAUGACUGGAGAAGGCAGGUUGUGAAGAAAUUACUUUCUUGCAAUUAUCUUCCUUUGAUUUUUUGAUUCUGGAGACUUGAAACAAUAUUUGUGUUUGAUGCAUGUUUUAGCUCAGGCGUGUUGAACCUGAAGGCCUUUUGUUGCAAACACGAGUUUUCAUUUAAUUCUGUUUUCUGGUCUGUAAAUUAACACUGGUUUUUGGUUAAAUGUGAUAAAAGAUAGAUGUGUUUCUUUGGUGUCAUAAUACUUUCAUCUGCCACAUACUGUGCUCAAGUUUGAAGUGCUCCCGAAGUUUUAUUUUUUACCACUGUGGUGCUGCUAAGGGCAUUUACAAAGACCUUUAUGAAGACUUUGACAAUUCCUUGCAUUUUUAAGUUCACCCAGCAUGGCUUUUCAUUUGGAAAAACAAGUGGAUUUGGUGCUUGAUAUGGUUAAAUCUUCGUUGUUGCCCAGAAAUAUACAAUGAAACCAGGCUAAGCUUUUCAAUAUCUACAUCAAUAAUAAGCUUAAAUCACUUUUGUUCUUCUAUUUGGAGUGAUGAAUAUGAAGGUUCGAGGAGUGUGUCUGUGGCUUUUGUGGAACUAGGAUUAUUUGGUGUCUUGAUGGCAUGCUGUUGAGUUUACUAGGAAUCUUUUUCUGGUGCUUUGUAAUGGGCAUGCAGAUGCAUGGUAGUACUUGGAAAUUUUAGAAAAUUUUCUUUUUUAUGGUAGUCAUAACCUCAAGAUUUAUUAAAGAUGUUUCUGAGUUGUUCCAUGUGAUUUGCCAGGAUAUCUGACGUGUGAGGGAUUGAGCAGUUCAUCAGAAAUAUAACUCGGACGGUAAUAUGUUCAACGUUUUGAAUGCCAGCGGCGGGAGGGCUAGCUGAUGAGCUUUGUGCCAUGAAGCAAGUCUUGUAGUAAUUGGACUGGGUAUUUAACUAUUGAUUGUUCGAGGCUUAGUUGAAGUUUAUUUGGCCCUCUUCUCGUCCGCAACUCUCUGAGGUGUAAUGCUUUGAUUUGUGCCAUAGCUUAAAAUUAUUUCAGACAACAUUUUUUCCUCUUCUUUUAUACAAAACAAAGACGAUUUAUGAUGACCGAAGCCCUCUUCAAAUCCGUUGUUUCCUUAGAGAACCCAUCAUUCUUGGAAUUAGAAUUAUAGAAAACUAUAUUGUCAAGUCUUUUUGUCAAGUGGAGAGCCCAGAAUUGUAAUUGUCCUUGAGGUGCACAAGCUAGACCUCCAACGGGCAUGACUUCAGCAUGUAGGAGCAGAAUUUGUCCACGAAAAACCAGUAUACAUCUUUCUGGACGUAUCCUACAAGUAUUCAGCACUAGACAGAUUCUGGUAAUCAAUAAUGCAAACUGCAUUUGCCACGGCGAGACUAACUUUAAGGUCCAUUAGAGCC
RNAcentral lists this long non-coding RNA (1669 nucleotides) under Populus tremula. RNAcentral's name for it is "long non-coding RNA (PTRE_LNC000502)". Lineage: Eukaryota; Viridiplantae; Streptophyta; Magnoliopsida; Malpighiales; Salicaceae. The record is from RNAcentral.